AUUGAACGCUGGCGGCAUGCCUUACACAUGCAAGUCGAACGGUAACGGGCCUUCGGGUGCCGACGAGUGGCGAACGGGUGAGUAAUGUAUCGGAACGUACCUUUCAGUGGGGGAUAACGUAGCGAAAGUUACGCUAAUACCGCAUAUUCUGUGAGCAGGAAAGCAGGGGGAUCGCAAGACCUUGCGCUGAUUGAGCGGCCGAUAUCAGAUUAGCUAGUUGGUGAGGUAAAGGCUCACCAAGGCGACGAUCUGUAGCGGGUCUGAGAGGAUGAUCCGCCACACUGGAACUGAGACACGGUCCAGACUCCUACGGGAGGCAGCAGUGGGGAAUUUUGGACAAUGGGGGCAACCCUGAUCCAGCCAUGCCGCGUGAGUGAAGAAGGCCU
This 386-nucleotide ribosomal RNA is filed under the name uncultured bacterium. RNAcentral's name for it is "bacterial SSU rRNA". It matches the Rfam family "Bacterial small subunit ribosomal RNA", at positions 30 to 417 of the family's 1533-position model. The record is from RNAcentral.